CGAUCUCUCUCUGUCUCAACCAACCGUACGAGUGCCGUUCAUUGAUCUUGACAGCGUUAAGAGGCGGGAGAAGCCCGUCACUGUGAUUUGCCGUUGAUUGAUCUUGGUCAUCGGCCACUUGCUCCACCAUUGCUUUGGUCAUCGAUUGACUUGAAAUCAAACAGGUAUACAGACCCACGGCUUUGUUUAGAUAGUUCUCCAACUCUUUCCUAAUUUUUUCAUUGUUGAAUUUAUGGGUGCUAUUUACAUAGUUCAAAAUUUGUUUCAGUGUUGAUUGAGUUGCUCGCAGAGGUCUCGUUUGGAUUGUCAAGAUCAAUUAUCUAGGUGAGUAUCCAUUUGCAUUAUAGGUGUUUGAUAAUAUGCUUGUUUCAGUCUAUGCUAUGUACAAUCAUAUAGGUGAAUAUCCAUUUGCAUUACAAGUGUUUGAUAAUAUGCUUGUGUCAAUCUAUGCUCUGUACAUGUAGGUUGGGCUUAUUGUUGAUUUGUUUAAUGCGUGCUUGUGUUCUCCCGAUUGCCGCCGACAACUCCACCUCUCUCUACCAGUUCAAUGUGUUCAACUCUUGCUGGUCGUGAGUUAACUGCAGUUUGAUAGGUCACAUACCAAGACUAGUUUAGACUGGCUGCGAUGAGGUAUAAUGUUAACGCUUAGUUCAAUUUGAUUGUUGCUAAUUGACAUUGCCUACAUUUAUUCAUUACGACAAAUUUCUAACUUCAGGGGUCAGACACAUCUUGAAUUGAUUGGCAAUGAGGUAAAAAAUAUCCUACCUUCUAAGCCUUUGUCGCAGUUUUGUUAAACUAAGGCUUACUUAAAUAUGACUUUGAAAAAUUCUGAUUUUGGCAAGAAUUUGGAGAUUAAUUAGUACUCUGUAAAAUUUUGUUUACUUUGGACCUCUUUCUUGUAUAGGUGUGGAUGGUAAAUGCACUAACGAAUAUAUUCCUUGCUUUAGGUGGCUGAACAUCUAAUUGUAGUUCUUUGCUUUAAACUUUUCAAUUGCUCUCUCUAGUUGAUGUUUUGGUUCUUAUAUCUUUUUAUUUGAAUUAGUUGCUGAUUUUUUUCCGUAGGCUACCCAUUUCAAACAAUUAUUCACAUAAUAAUGACUUUUUUUGUAGGCAUUGGUGACAUAACAACUCAAAUGUAGGGAAACUGGGGCAACAUAUUAUGCAGGAACAUGUUGUUGGAGCAAUGCUCUUUAAGGUAUCCUUUCAAUGAUGAAAAGACUUCUUUUGUCCAAGUAAAUACUGACUGAAAAGGUGUCAUCUCAUUUUAUUGGAG
Rhododendron vialii is the source of this 1273-nucleotide long non-coding RNA. RefSeq lists it as uncharacterized. The transcript is spliced from 3 exons. NCBI's taxonomy places the organism in Eukaryota, Viridiplantae, Streptophyta, Magnoliopsida, Ericales, Ericaceae. The record is from RefSeq and is a predicted model, not a curated record.